UCGAUUGUUUGCUAUCGAAUAAUUACAAAUUUAAACCAGCAGCAAUGCUCAAAGUUUCCCAAAAAUUAUACUUUUCUGGAAACUGUGACCGAAAUUUUUGAAUACUUUAGAAAUUUUGGACAGUGUUAUAAGAAUAUUUUGUCUUGUUAG
Caenorhabditis elegans is the source of this 150-nucleotide non-coding RNA. The record is from Ensembl. Lineage: Eukaryota; Metazoa; Nematoda; Chromadorea; Rhabditida; Rhabditidae.